CCUACGGGAGGCAGCAGUGAGGAAUAUUGGGCAAUUGGCGAAACCCUGAUCCAGCCAUUCCGCGUGAGUGAAGAAGGCCUUCGGGUUGUAAAGCUCUUUCGGCAGGAACGAAACGGCGGACUCUAACAUAGUCUGUCAAUGACGGUACCUGAAGAAGAAGCACCGGCUAACUACGUGCCAGCAGCCGCGGUAAUACGUAGGGUGCGAGCGUUAAUCGGAAUUACUGGGCGUAAAGCGUGCGCAGGCGGCUUUGUAAGACGGAUGUGAAAUCCCUGGGCUUAACCAAGGAACUGCGUUCGUGACUGCAAAGCUAGAGUGCGGAAGAGGGGGGUGGAAUUCCUGGUGUAGAAGUGAAAUGCGUAGAGAUCAGGAGGAACACCGAUGGCGAAGGCAGCCCCCUGGGUUGGAACUGACGCUCAUGCACGAAAGCGUGGGGAGCAAACAGGAUAAGAUCCCCGGGUAGU
RNAcentral lists this ribosomal RNA (464 nucleotides) under uncultured Rhodocyclaceae bacterium. RNAcentral describes it as "partial 16S ribosomal RNA". It matches the Rfam family "Bacterial small subunit ribosomal RNA", at positions 338 to 794 of the family's 1533-position model. The record is from RNAcentral. Lineage: Bacteria; Pseudomonadati; Pseudomonadota; Betaproteobacteria; Rhodocyclales; Rhodocyclaceae.